Molecule: ribosomal RNA, 98 nt
Organism: Fukomys damarensis (Damara mole-rat)
Lineage: Eukaryota; Metazoa; Chordata; Mammalia; Rodentia; Bathyergidae
Source: Ensembl
GUCUACAGCCAUACCACCCUGAAUGCGCCUGAUCUCGCCUGAGCUCAGAAGCUAAGCAGGGUCGAGCCUAGUUAGUACUUAGAUUUGGGACAGAGAAA